RNAcentral lists this long non-coding RNA (1120 nucleotides) under Arachis ipaensis. RNAcentral's name for it is "long non-coding RNA (AIPA_LNC001073)". The record is from RNAcentral. Lineage: Eukaryota; Viridiplantae; Streptophyta; Magnoliopsida; Fabales; Fabaceae.
UCCCCUCCAUACCCGGGUUUUGAGCAAUAUAAAUACACAACAGCAUAGCAUGUAUAGCCAUGCAAAAAAGAAAUUAAAUUACACUACAAUAGUAGUUUCCAUUAAUCAGCAUGAAGGCCAUUUUCAUUGCAUUCCUACUCUUGGCUUCCAUGGCCUUCCUACCCUCUUCAACUCUAGCAGCCCGUGAACUGGUAGCGGUCAAAGGUAAAAACACACUCUUUAAGUACGUUUUAAUUGUUUGAAAUACAAAUAUUGAUGUAAGGUGUUAUGAUUUAUUUUGAUCUCGAAGUACUUAAGAAUUUCUUGUCUAAUACAUGUAUCAGCACCAAAAUUUCGUUCUAUUAUUUUUGUCUAACCGUUUUCCCCUCACUAUUGCUUAAUUGGUAUAUAUCUUUUUGUUGAAUUAGUUAACAUAAUUGUGCUGUGGCAUUUAAUUUGAAGAUAUAUAUAUAUAAUAUAUGGUUGUCAUUUCAUAUAAAAUGAUUAUUCUAUAGUAUAAAUUAUGGAGAGUGUACUAAUGAAUGCAGGAGAGAAAGCAACAACAGUAGUAGUUGACCCUAAUAACCCAAAGGGGCCUGCUGUUAAAUGUCCACCAAAUACGCCUUAUGAAAAGUGCCUCAACCCGCCAUCUCCAAAAUGUAACAAAGUGUACAAUCGUGGCUGCAAAUGAUGACCAUCAAUAAAAAUCAAUCUGUAUAACUCACAUGCAGUUGUCUUAAUGUGAAGUUGGUAGUCGAAAAACGUUAGAUAAUUUAAUAUAUUCGAUUAAAUUAUCAUCUAAUAAUUAUCAAUUAUCAACUUCAUAUGAAAACAACUAUAAGUGAGUUUCUAUCGUAUACACAUAUCUAUGAAAAUAAAUAAAUUAGAUUUUAUCACUCAUGAGUGAUGAAGCAGCUUUCAUUAUUAGUCUAUAUAGUGAUAUGUAAAUAAUAAAACUCUCUUGAUGAUGAGUUUAAUUAAAUGUUGAAGUUUUACAGAGUUUAUCUGUGUCUUAUUGGAUAAUGUAUUUUGAUGUCAGUGUAUGUCAGAUUUCAAAAUAAAUCUAGUAAAAAAUGACAUAAGAAGAAGAAAAUUCUUCAAACAAUGAGUCAAUGAAUCCCAAAGCAUACAUAUAGUGAUG